AUGGACUGCAGCCCACCAGGCUCCUCUGUCCAUGGGAUUUUCCAGGCAAGAGUACUGGAGUGGGGUGCCAUUGCCUUCUCUGGAAGAGCCUCUGAGUCUCUGCCAAACAGGAGUGAUGGAUGGGGUGCUGACUCCCUUGCUACAGCAAGUCCUGAAAUAAUGCCAGGAGUUAAGCACCAUCAUCAUCGUCUCCAGCUUACAAAUGAAGAGGCUGAAGGAAAAGGAAACUAGCUAACUUGCACAAGGACCUACACCUAGGAAAACAAAUUAGAACUCCAGUCACUGGUGCAUGAUUCUGCCUCUUGAAGAUCAAGUGUGCAAAAUAUUUGCUUUGGUGCCUGACACAUGGUUCUUCUGUCCUAGGAGAUUCUUCGGGCAAGAACACUGGAGUGGGUUGCCAUGCCCUCCUCCAGGGGAUCUUCCUAACCCAGAGGAUCGAACCCAGGUCUCCGUCAUUUCAGGCAGAUUCUUUACCAUCUGAGCCACCAAGGAAGCCCAAGAAUUCUGGAGUGGGUAGCCUAUCCCUUCUCCAGGGGAACUUCC
Long non-coding RNA from Bos taurus (domestic cattle), 543 nucleotides. The record is from Ensembl. NCBI's taxonomy places the organism in Eukaryota, Metazoa, Chordata, Mammalia, Artiodactyla, Bovidae.